Molecule: ribosomal RNA, 404 nt
Filed under: Fusobacteriota bacterium
Lineage: Bacteria; Fusobacteriati; Fusobacteriota
Description: Fusobacteria bacterium partial 16S ribosomal RNA
Rfam family: Bacterial small subunit ribosomal RNA
Source: RNAcentral
UGGGGAAUAUUGCACAAUGGAGGGAACUCUGAUGCAGCGACGCCGCGUGAGUGAUGAAGGAAUUCGUUUCGUAAAACUCUGUUCUAUGGGAAGAAAAGGACUGUACCAUAGGAGAAAGCUCCGGCGAAAUACGUGCCAGCAGCCGCGGUAAUACGCAUGGAGCGAGCGUUGUCCGGAAUUAUUGGGCGUAAAGGGUGCGCAGGCGGCUUUACAAGUUGGAUGUGAAAUAUUGUGGCUCAACCACAAACGUGCAUCCAAAACUGCAAAGCUUGAGUUAAGGAGAGGUAAGUGGAAUUCCUGGUGUAGCGGUGGAAUGCGUAGAUAUCAGGAGGAAUACCGGUGGCGAAGGCGACUUACUGGACUUAAACUGACGCUCAGGCACGAAAGCGUGGGGAGCAAACAGG